GAUGAACGCUGGCGGCGUGCUUAACACAUGCAAGUCGAACGAAGCACUUUAUUUGAUUUCCUUCGGGACUGAUUAUUUUGUGACUGAGUGGCGGACGGGUGAGUAACGCGUGGGUAACCUGCCUUGUACAGGGGGAUAACAGUUGGAAACGGCUGCUAAUACCGCAUAAGCGCACGGCAUCGCAUGAUGCAGUGUGAAAAACUCCGGUGGUAUAAGAUGGACCCGCGUUGGAUUAGCUAGUUGGUGAGGUAACGGCCCACCAAGGCGACGAUCCAUAGCCGACCGGGGAGGGUGACCGGCCACAUUGGGACUGAGACACGGCCCAAACUCCUACGGGAGGCAGCAGUGUGGAAUAUUGCACAAUGGGCGAAAGCCUGAUGCAGCGACGCCGCGUGAGCGAAGAAGUAUUUCGGUAUGUAAAGCUCUAUCAGCAGGGAAGAUAGUGACGGUACCUGACUAAGAAGCACCGGCUAAAUACGUG
This 481-nucleotide ribosomal RNA is filed under the name uncultured bacterium. RNAcentral's name for it is "partial 16S ribosomal RNA". It matches the Rfam family "Bacterial small subunit ribosomal RNA", at positions 28 to 507 of the family's 1533-position model. The record is from RNAcentral.